This 497-nucleotide ribosomal RNA is filed under the name uncultured bacterium. Its description in RNAcentral is "partial 16S ribosomal RNA". It matches the Rfam family "Bacterial small subunit ribosomal RNA", at positions 28 to 507 of the family's 1533-position model. The record is from RNAcentral.
GAUGAACGCUGGCGGCGUGCCUAAUACAUGCAAGUCGAGCGAACGGACGAGAAGCUUGUUUCUCUGAUGUUAGCGGCGGACGGGUGAGUAACACGUGGAUAACCUACCUAUAAGACUGGGAUAACUUCGGGAAACCGGAGCUAAUACCGGAUAAUAUUUUGAACCGCAUGGUUCAAAAGUGAAAGACGGUCUUGCUGUCACUUAUAGAUGGAUCCGCGCUGCAUUGGCUAGUUGGUAAGGUAACGGCUUACCAAGGCAACGAUGCAUAGCCGACCUGAGAGGGUGAUCGGCCACACUGGAACUGAGACACGGUCCAGACUCCUACGGGAGGCAGCAGUAGGGAAUCUUCGGCAAUGGGCGAAAGCCUGACGGAGCAACGCCGCGUGAGUGAUGAAGGUCUUCGGAUCGUAAAACCCUGUUAUUAGGGAAGAACAUCUGUGUAAGUAACUGUGCACAUCUUGACGGUACCUAAUCAGAAAGCAACGGCUAACUACGUG